Molecule: ribosomal RNA, 281 nt
Filed under: uncultured bacterium
Lineage: Bacteria
Description: partial 16S ribosomal RNA
Rfam family: Bacterial small subunit ribosomal RNA
Source: RNAcentral
GGACCUACGGGACGCAGCAGUCGGGAAUAUUGCGCAAUGGAGGAAACUCUGACGCAGUGACGCCGCGUAUAGGAAGAAGGUUUUCGGAUUGUAAACUAUUGUCGUUAGGGAAGAUAAAAGACUGUACCUAAGGAGGAAGCCCCGGCUAACUAUGUGCCAGCAGCCGCGGUAAUACAUAGGGGGCAAGCGUUAUCCGGAUUUACUGGGUGUAAAGGGAGCGUAGACGGCGCGGCAAGUCUGAAGUGAAAGGCAGGGGCUUAACCCCUGAGCUGCUUUGGAAA